Molecule: ribosomal RNA, 1010 nt
Filed under: Bacillus stratosphericus
Lineage: Bacteria; Bacillati; Bacillota; Bacilli; Caryophanales; Bacillaceae
Description: bacterial SSU rRNA
Rfam family: Bacterial small subunit ribosomal RNA
Source: RNAcentral
AUCUUCCGCAUGGACGAAAGUCUGACGGAGCACGCCGCGUGAGUGAUGAAGGUUUUCGGAUCGUAAAGCUCUGUUGUUAGGGAAGAACAAGUGCAAGAGUAACUGCUUGCACCUUGACGGUACCUAACCAGAAAGCCACGGCUAACUACGUGCCAGCAGCCGCGGUAAUACGUAGGUGGCAANCGUUGUCCGGAAUUAUUGGGCGUAAAGGGCUCGCAGGCGGUUUCUUAAGUCUGAUGUGAAAGCCCCCGGCUCAACCGGGGAGGGUCAUUGGAAACUGGGAAACUUGAGUGCAGAAGAGGAGAGUGGAAUUCCACGUGUAGCGGUGAAAUGCGUAAAGAUGUGGAGGAACACCAGCGGCGAAGGCGACUCUCUGGUCUGUAACUGACCCUGAGGANCGAAAGCGUGGGGAGCGAACAGGAUUAAAUACCCUGGUAGUCCCGCCGUAAACGAGGAGUGCUAAUGUUAGGGGGUUUCCCCCCCUUAGUGUUGCAGUUAACCCAUUAACCUCCCCCUGGGGAGUACGUCGCAAGACUGAACUCAAAGGAAUUGACGGGGGCCCGCNCAAGCGGUGGAGCAUGUGGUUUAUUNGAAGCAACGGGAAGNACCUUACCAGGUCUUGACAUNCUUUGACAACCCUAGAGAUAGGGCUUUCCNUUCGGGGACAGAGUGACAGGUGGUGCAUGGUUGUCGUCAGCUCGUGUCGUGAGAUGUUGGGUUAAGUCCCGCAACGAGCGCAACCCUUGAUCUUAGUUGCCAGCAUUCAGUUGGGCACUCUAAGGUGACUGCCGGUGACAAACCGGAGGAAGGUGGGGAUGACGUCAAAUCAUCAUGCCCCUUAUGACCUGGGCUACACACGUGCUACAAUGGACAGAACAAAGGGCUGCGAGACCGCAAGGUUUAGCCAAUCCCACAAAUCUGUUCUCAGUUCGGAUCGCAGUCUGCAACUCGACUGCGUGAAGCUGGAAUCGCUAGUAAUCGCGGAUCAGCAUGCCGCGGGAACUUCCUUU